CGGGCGGCGGAAGGCCCGCCCCUAGAAGGGUGUGGAAACCGUUAGACCCCCUUUCCUGCCCGCGCGCGCCCUCGCGGCCACGCGCUUUCGGUGUCCCCCGCGGGCAGCGGCCCGGCGGCCUCGUAGCGGCCGCAAAACGCCGUGGCCGUCGCGCGGCGCCAUCCGUUGUCGCAAAGCGGCGCGAGAAACGCCCAGCCGGGUGUUGGCCCCGCCCCGCGCUGUGACGUCGGCGGCGCGCGCCCCCGGCGCCGUGGCCGCGGCUGCGCAGUGGGGCGCGUAUGGCUGCCGCCCCCCGCUGGCAGACGCUGGCGGCGUAAGGCGCGCGGGCCCCGGAGCGGGCGCGGCGGAGCGCGGCGAGCCCGGCGCCUCCCGUCCCGAACAUGCGGAGGCCGGCCCAGGCGGCGCGGGAGCCGGAGCGGGGGCCCAAGCGGCACCGGAGCCGGAGCGCGAGGGGGCGCGGG
This 461-nucleotide long non-coding RNA is filed under the name Homo sapiens (human). RNAcentral's name for it is "non-protein coding lnc-CSNK1G2-1:3". The record is from RNAcentral. Lineage: Eukaryota; Metazoa; Chordata; Mammalia; Primates; Hominidae.